GUUGGGAUCUUGUACCUCUACAUGACAAGUCUUGAAGCUUGUUCUUGCCUUUAUUUCUCUCAUGGAAAAUGGGUAAGGCAACAGUGGCUGUAAGUAAGAGCUGUUAUGAAGGAAUUAAGAGCAGCAAAUGCAAAGUGCUUAGUGUAGUUCUUGGCACACCAUAGCACUCAGUAGGGUCAGCCACUGUCAUGAAAUCAGGAGUCAACCUAAUAGGUACACACCCAAGGGUUCACCACCAACCUGAAGCUAAAGAAGAUUUGAAGUCUGGCAAACUGGUCAAAAGCCCAAAGGCUUCUCUGACUAAGGGUUUUCUUGCAGCUGUGGACCUAGUGGGCAGUUGUGAGGAGAUUUGAAGAAGUUUGUGCACCAAGAGAUCCAAGGGUUUGUAGAACAAGAGACUCACUGUUGAGGGUGGUAAGGAAGAGGAGCCACAUGUAGUUUGUCCCACUGUUGGAACUGCCUUGUUAUCUCACAUGCUUAUUCUAAAAGAGCAAGAGUCCCUCACAGGUCAAAGUGCUGCCCAAACUGUGUUACAGAGCAGCCACCCACAUCAAGAGUCUGAGACUGGAGCCACCCCGGACACUGUAUGUGGGCAGCAAAGGCUGAUGAGAGGGAGCUGUUGGAGACACCAUAGGGUCACCACAUGUGGCUCCCAACCCCUCUGGAGAACCUUUAGGAUAAGCUGCUGCAGGUGGAGCCAGCCUGCACAGACCCUCUCCCCCACCACAUGCCAGCAGUGCCCACCUUGCUGUACCAGCACUCCAUUGCUCACACCAGUGCUACCUAUUAAGAGACCCCCGGAGGCUCCAGGAGACCAGGAAGUCACUCCGCAGGAGGUACCUGCAUCUUCAAAGAAAAGGUUGGAGAAAGCAAUGCUUAACCUGAAGAAAUGGCUGCAUAGUAGGAAGAGUGGCAUCAAAGGUUUCCCAGCAGGUCACUGAGGAAAUGGCCACUUCAUAAACGUGUAAAGCAAUACUUAGUGGAGAGCCAGUUCCCAGUCUCCACGUGUCCAAAACAUAGAGCCGAGACAGGAACCGAGAGUAGAUCUUUCUACAAGCAAUCCACUGAGUAGCCAGGCUGUAGGUAGCAAAGAGGUAUGCAAAAAUAAGCACGCCUCAUACAGCAAGGAUGGCUCAUCAUCCCAGCAACCAGCUGCAAGUUGGGACACUGCCUCGCACUCCAUCUACGGUGAGCUUGAUUCUCAGGCCACACUCUGUUUCCUCCUCCUCAGCUUUCACCCAUGGCAGCUGAGAUUGCCACGGUCCAUGAAGUCAGGAGGCCUUUUUCCACCAGGUCUUCCUUGCAGCAGCUCUACCUGCAUUCCAGUUUUUCACUGCCACCCCAGAGCCAAAACCUAUCCCAGACUUGUGGGGGAGGAGUAAACAAGCCCAUUGCCCCCAACUUUAGGAGGAGAUGUGGAAUUUAAUGAACUCGGUUCACAUUGCAGGGCUGUGAUUCCUCUUACCUUUAACGUGAACUCACAGGCGGAUUAAACUGAAAGAAAAACUACCAUUUGAGUUACAUUCUCAGCUGAUUGGAAACAUGCAUUACCUCCCUGUGACCAGACCGUGAGAAGGGAAGUUAUUAUCUUUCUUUAGAGUUUGUAAACCCUUUAUGGCUGAGGCAGCUUUAAUCCUGCCUGGGGGGAAAAAAUGAUGCGGAAUAAAUUACUCCCAUUUACCUUUGUUUUCCAAUCACAUGCUCCAGUGGGAACAAAACAUCCUAAGUGAGGGGAUGUGGAGAGCCAGGUGAUCCUUGACAGAAGAGUUUAAUUAUUUUCUUCUUUAAGCACGUGAGCUGAAAGGGCUUUAAAGCAUCAUUUGGCAAGGGGGCUUGUUCCACAGAAAUGUGCACUCCAGCGAGGAUGCCAGCAUCCCCUGGCUUUUCCUGGUUCCUCUGCUUUUUCUUUCCAAUGGGCAGUGGCCCCAACCCAUCCCACAAUGCCUGUUUCUUAAUGGGGCAUUCAGAGCAAACCUUUUCACUCCAGACAUUUAGGAACAACCAGGAAGGAGCCAAAGAAAAGGCAGCUUUGAAUCAAAAUCAAAUCAGUGUCUGGGCUAGGGCUCUAGAAAGGCAGACUUCACUUCUUUGUUAUUUCUCUGAUCCGCUCUGUUACCUAAAUGACACUGUGCUAAUGUGUAGGCG
Molecule: long non-coding RNA, 2145 nt
Organism: Fukomys damarensis (Damara mole-rat)
Lineage: Eukaryota; Metazoa; Chordata; Mammalia; Rodentia; Bathyergidae
Source: Ensembl